ACAACUUUCAGCAGUGGAUGUCUAGGCUCGCACAUCGAUGAAGAACGCGGCGAACUGCGAUACGUAAUGCGAAUUGCAGAAUUCAGUGAGUCAUCGAAAUUUUGAACGCAUAUUGCACUUUCGGGUUAUGCCUGGAAGUAUGUCUGUAUCAGUGUCCGUA
This 160-nucleotide ribosomal RNA is filed under the name Globisporangium splendens. RNAcentral's name for it is "5.8S rRNA". It matches the Rfam family "5.8S ribosomal RNA". Rfam says of the family: 5.8S ribosomal RNA (5.8S rRNA) is a component of the large subunit of the eukaryotic ribosome. It is transcribed by RNA polymerase I as part of the 45S precursor that also contains 18S and 28S rRNA. The record is from RNAcentral. Lineage: Eukaryota; Oomycota; Peronosporomycetes; Pythiales; Pythiaceae.